Molecule: ribosomal RNA, 253 nt
Filed under: uncultured bacterium
Lineage: Bacteria
Description: partial 16S ribosomal RNA
Rfam family: Bacterial small subunit ribosomal RNA
Source: RNAcentral
UACGUAGGGCGCAAGCGUUGUCCGGAAUUAUUGGGCGUAAAGAGCUCGUAGGCGGUUCGUUGUGUCUGCCGUGAAAACCCGAGGCUUAACCUCGGGCCUGCGGUGGAUACGGGCGGACUAGAGGUAGGUAGGGGAGAAUGGAAUUCCUGGUGUAGCGGUGAAAUGCGUAGAUAUCAGGAGGAAUACCGGUGGCGAAAGCGACUCUCUGGACGGCAACUGACGCUGAGGCACGAAAGCGUGGGGAGCAAACAGG